GGGCGAGCGGCAAGCUACGGGCAGCGGCGGACGGACUCUCAGAUAGCAUCGGCAGCGGCUAUGUUUCACUUCUUCCGAAAGCCUGCAGAAUCCAAAAAGCCCUCCGUGCCGGAACCGGAAGCCGAUGGAUUUGUCCUCUUAGUAACUAACUGACUUGCCUGAGCUUGCCUGGACUUUGCCUGUUCUUACGCAUAGUCUUCUGAACUGCCAAUUUGAAGCCUGUCAAAGAAUCAGCCUAGCCUUCUCAAUAGUUUAAGGGAAAAUAAAGAAAAAACCCUGAAAACAUUAAA
RNAcentral lists this long non-coding RNA (290 nucleotides) under Rattus norvegicus (Norway rat). RNAcentral describes it as "long non-coding RNA NONRATT020238". Lineage: Eukaryota; Metazoa; Chordata; Mammalia; Rodentia; Muridae. The record is from RNAcentral.